GGACCCGCACAAGCGGUGGAUUAUGUGGAUUAAUUCGAUGCAACGCGAAAAACCUUACCUACCCUUGACAUGUGCGGAACGGGAUAGAGAUAUCCCGGUGCCCGAAAGGGAACCGCAACACAGGUGCUGCAUGGCUGUCGUCAGCUCGUGUCGUGAGAUGUUGGGUUAAGUCCCGCAACGAGCGCAACCCUUGCCAUUAGUUGCUACAUUCAGUUGGGCACUCUAAUGGGACUGCCGGUGACAAACCGGAGGAAGGUGGGGAUGACGUCAAGUCCUCAUGGCCCUUAUGGGUAGGGCUUCACACGUAAUACAAUGGCCGGUACAGAGGGCUGCCAACCCGCGAGGGGGAGCAAAUCCCAGAAAGCCGGUCGUAGUCCGGAUUGUUCUCUGCAACUCGAGAGCAUGAAGUCGGAAUCGCUAGUAAUCGCGGAUCAGCAUGUCGCGGUGAAUACGUUCCCGGGUCUU
RNAcentral lists this ribosomal RNA (465 nucleotides) under uncultured bacterium. Its description in RNAcentral is "bacterial SSU rRNA". It matches the Rfam family "Bacterial small subunit ribosomal RNA", at positions 917 to 1382 of the family's 1533-position model. The record is from RNAcentral.